GAAGCGCGCCAGACCGCCGCUGGUGCAAGUUGGGAAACCAAGCACUGGAGGAACGUCCGGACUGCACAGGACAGCGUAGCAGCUAACGGCUGCCCACCGUGAGGUGAGGAUUAGAGCAACAGAGACGAGCCGAUUAAGUUCGGGUGAAACGGGCAAUCUCUACGCGCAGCAAUACCAAGUAGGCCAACGUUGAUGUGGUUCCGCAGAGUUGGCGGGUAGGUAGCAU
RNAcentral lists this RNase P RNA (226 nucleotides) under Giesbergeria sp. RNAcentral describes it as "partial RNase P RNA component class A". It matches the Rfam family "Bacterial RNase P class A", at positions 1 to 281 of the family's 367-position model. Rfam says of the family: Ribonuclease P (RNase P) is a ubiquitous endoribonuclease, found in archaea, bacteria and eukarya as well as chloroplasts and mitochondria. Its best characterised activity is the generation of mature 5'-ends of tRNAs by cleaving the 5'-leader elements of precursor-tRNAs. Cellular RNase Ps are ribonucleoproteins. The record is from RNAcentral. Lineage: Bacteria; Pseudomonadati; Pseudomonadota; Betaproteobacteria; Burkholderiales; Comamonadaceae.